Molecule: long non-coding RNA, 712 nt
Organism: Pseudophryne corroboree (corroboree frog)
Lineage: Eukaryota; Metazoa; Chordata; Amphibia; Anura; Myobatrachidae
Exons: 5
Source: RefSeq, a predicted model, not a curated record
UCACACCUAGCUUGUGACAUCACUAGCCCGUGACAUCACAAUGCUUCUUCCUGUAACAUUCUAUCUACAGCUGCUGACGUUUCCAGUUUCCAUGCAGGAAGACAGGUAGUAAGAGAUCAUCUGGCAAAGAGAUUUGCAGAGUGUCGGGUGACCGGCAAAGAGAUCUGCAAAGUGUCAGUUGAAGACGAUGGGAGGGGUCGCAGAGGUAGCAACGACUGGAGUAUAACAUGCAGGAGAUCAUCUGGCAAAGAGAUUUGCAGAGUGUCGGGUGACCGGCAAAGAGAUCUGCAAAGUGUCAGUUGAAGACGAUGGGAGGGGUCGCAGAGGUAGCAACGACUGGAGUAUAACAUGCAGGAGAUCAUCAUUUGGCAAAGUUCUGGCAAAGAGAUUUGCAGAGUGUCGGGUGACCGGCAAAGAGAUCUGUAAAGUGUCAGUUGAAGACGACGGGAGUGGUCGCAGAGGAAUUAGUGACUGGAGAAUAGCAUGCAGGAGUGGUUGAUUCCUGGGAGGAGAGCUGCGGACACAUGCUCCAAAUGUUGGGACAUAUGCAUUACCUAUUAGGAGAUGCGGUAAAGAUGCCGGCUGUCGGGUUUACGGCAGUCAGAAUACUGACACUGGGAUCCCGACACUCUUCAGAAUCCCGACGUUGGAACUCCGAAUGUGCAAGGAUACCGACGCCCGUAUUCCCACGAUCAUAGGUUUAGGGCUGGGC